GGCGAACGGGUGAGUAACACGUGAGGAACCUGCCCCGAAGACCGGGACAACACCGGGAAACCGGUGCUAAUACCGGAUGCCCUCACCGGACCGCAUGAUCCGGUGAGGAAAUGGAUUCCGCUUCGGGAUGGCCUCGCGGCCUAUCAGCUUGUUGGUGAGGUCACGGCUCACCAAGGCGACGACGGGUAGCUGGUCUGAGAGGAUGUCCAGCCACACUGGGACUGAGACACGGCCCAGACUCCUACGGGAGGCAGCAGUUAGGAAUCUUGCGCAAUGGACGAAAGUCUGACGCAGCGACGCCGCGUGCGGGAUGAAGGCCCCCGGGUUGUAAACCGCUUUCAGCAGGGACGAAAUUGACGGUACCUGCAGAAGAAGCCCCGGCCAACUACGUGCCAGCAGCCGCGGUAAUACGUAGGGGGCGAGCGUUGUCCGGAUUUAUUGGGCGUAAAGAGCUCGUAGGUGGUUUGGUAAGUCGGAUGUGAAAUCUCCAGGCUCAACCUGGAGGGGUCAUUCGAGACUGCCAUGACUAGAGUUCGGUAGAGGAGUGUGGAAUUCCUGGUGGAGCGGUGAAAUGCGCAGAUAUCAGGAGGAACACCCGUAGCGAAGGCGGCACUCUGGGCCGAUACUGACACUGAGGAGCGAAAGCGUGGGGAGCGAACAGGAUUAGAUACCCUGGUAGUCC
Molecule: ribosomal RNA, 682 nt
Filed under: uncultured bacterium
Lineage: Bacteria
Description: bacterial SSU rRNA
Rfam family: Bacterial small subunit ribosomal RNA
Source: RNAcentral